AUUGAACGCUGGCGGCAGGCCUAACACAUGCAAGUCGAACGGCAGCACAGAAGAGCUUGCUCUUUGGGUGGCGAGUGGCGGACGGGUGAGUAAUGUCUGGGAAACUGCCCGAUGGAGGGGGAUAACUACUGGAAACGGUAGCUAAUACCGCAUAACGUCGCGAGACCAAAGUGGGGGACCUUCGGGCCUCACACCAUCGGAUGUGCCCAGAUGGGAUUAGCUAGUAGGUGGGGUAAUGGCUCACCUAGGCGACGAUCCCUAGCUGGUCUGGGAGGAUGACCAGCCACACUGGAACUGAGACACGGUCCAGAGUCCUACGGGAGGCAGCAGUGGGGAAUAUUGCACAAUGGGCGCAAGCCUGAUGCAGCCAUGCCGCGUGUAUGAAGAAGGCCUUCGGGUUGUAAAGUACUUUCAGCGGGGAGGAAGGCGGUGAGGUUAAUAACCUCGCCGAUUGACGUUACCCGCAGAAGAAGCACCGGCUAACUCCGUGCCAGCAGCCGCGGUAA
This 506-nucleotide ribosomal RNA is filed under the name uncultured bacterium. RNAcentral describes it as "partial 16S ribosomal RNA". It matches the Rfam family "Bacterial small subunit ribosomal RNA", at positions 29 to 523 of the family's 1533-position model. The record is from RNAcentral.